Molecule: unclassified non-coding RNA, 309 nt
Filed under: plant metagenome
Description: partial contains 5.8S ribosomal RNA, internal transcribed spacer 2, and large subunit ribosomal RNA
Rfam family: 5.8S ribosomal RNA (bases 1-105)
Source: RNAcentral
GAAAUGCGAUAAGUAGUGUGAAUUGCAGAAUUCAGUGAAUCAUCGAAUCUUUGAACGCACAUUGCGCCCCUUGGUAUUCCAUGGGGCAUGCCUGUUCGAGCGUCAUUUGUACCCUCAAGCUCUGCUUGGUGUUGGGUGUUUGUCCCGUCUCCGCGCGUGGACUCGCCCCAAAGUGAUUGGCAGCCGGCGUACUGGUCCCGGAGCGCAGCACAUGUCGCGCAAACGAGUGCCUUGGUACGGCGGCGUCCAUAAGCGCCUCUCUCACGCUCUUGACCUCGGAUCAGGUAGGGAUACCCGCUGAACUUAAGC